UCAGCGCCCGGUCGUCACGGCAACUGCGGUAGUGGUAAACCGUACGGCUCUGCAUCAUCAGUUCGCAUCCCCGGCGAACCCCGAUACGGUACGCUGCCAGCAGAUAUUCCACGGCCUCACGCUUCUGCACCGGCCUC
Molecule: small RNA, 137 nt
Filed under: Tatumella morbirosei
Lineage: Bacteria; Pseudomonadati; Pseudomonadota; Gammaproteobacteria; Enterobacterales; Erwiniaceae
Description: isrN Hfq binding RNA
Rfam family: isrN Hfq binding RNA
Source: Rfam by way of RNAcentral